GACGAACGCUGGCGGCGUGCUUAACACAUGCAAGUCGAACGGAAAGGCCCUGCUUUUGUGGGGUGCUCGAGUGGCGAACGGGUGAGUAACACGUGAGUAACCUGCCCUUGACUUUGGGAUAACUUCAGGAAACUGGGGCUAAUACCGGAUAGGAGCUCCUGCUGCAUGGUGGGGUUUGGAAAGUUUCGGCGGUUGGGGAUGGACUCGCGGCUUAUCAGCUUGUUGGUGGGGUAGUGGCUUACCAAGGCAUUGACGGGUAGCCGGCCUGAGAGGGUGACCGGCCACAUUGGGACUGAGAUACGGCCCAGACUCCUACGGGAGGCAGCAGUGGGGAAUAUUGCACAAUGGGCGGAAGCCUGAUGCAGCAACGCCGCGUGCGGGAUGACGGCCUUCGGGUUGUAAACCGCUUUCGCCUGUGACGAAGCGUGAGUGACGGUAAUGGGUAAAGAAGCACCGGCUAACUACGUG
RNAcentral lists this ribosomal RNA (468 nucleotides) under uncultured bacterium. Its description in RNAcentral is "partial 16S ribosomal RNA". It matches the Rfam family "Bacterial small subunit ribosomal RNA", at positions 28 to 507 of the family's 1533-position model. The record is from RNAcentral.